RNAcentral lists this ribosomal RNA (214 nucleotides) under Epistylis hentscheli. RNAcentral's name for it is "partial 18S ribosomal RNA". It matches the Rfam family "Eukaryotic small subunit ribosomal RNA", at positions 1592 to 1827 of the family's 1831-position model. Lineage: Eukaryota; Ciliophora; Oligohymenophorea; Sessilida; Epistylidae. The record is from RNAcentral.
GUUCCCCUUGAACGAGGAAUUCCUAGUAAGCGCAUGUCAUCAGCAUGUGCUGAUUACGUCCCUGCAAAAUGUACACACCGCCCGUCGCUAUUACCGAUUGGGUGUAUAGGUGAACCUUCUCGACAGUCGCAAGACUAGAAAUUAAGUAAACCUUUGCACCUAGAGGAAAUAAAAGUCGUAACAAGGUUUCCGUAGGUGAACCUGCGGAAGGAUC